Molecule: unclassified non-coding RNA, 242 nt
Filed under: Hevea brasiliensis (rubber tree)
Lineage: Eukaryota; Viridiplantae; Streptophyta; Magnoliopsida; Malpighiales; Euphorbiaceae
Source: RNAcentral
GUCUUAGUAUCGGCAAAACUGGUGUACUCAACCAAAGUAGUAUCAUACGGGCGCAAAAGUGCGGUCGCAUUUUCAAUCGCGGUGUGUAAUUCGGACUCAUCGGUUUUAUCAGAAUCAAUACUCAACAGCACGUUUUUUCGCCUGACGAAUUUGAACUGAGGGGCCGAGUUGUGGAACCCGGUGACCUGGAGUAUGUCACCAACUCGGUAACGGCAUAGUCCGGCGUAAGUUGUGAUCACGAG